AAAUUGAAGAGUUUGAUCAUGGCUCAGAUUGAACGCUGGCGGCAGGCCUAACACAUGCAAGUCGAACGGUAACAGGAAGCAGCUUGCUGCUUUGCUGACGAGUGGCGGACGGGUGAGUAAUGUCUGGGAAACUGCCUGAUGGAGGGGGAUAACUACUGGAAACGGUGGCUAAUACCGCAUAACGUCGCAAGACCAAAGAGGGGGACCUUCGGGCCUCUUGCCAUCAGAUGUGCCCAGAUGGGAUUAGCUUGUUGGUGAGGUAACGGCUCACCAAGGCGACGAUCCCUAGCUGGUCUGAGAGGAUGACCAGCCACACUGGAACUGAGACACGGUCCAGACUCCUACGGGAGGCAGCAGUGGGGAAUAUUGCACAAUGGGCGCAAGCCUGAUGCAGCCAUGCCGCGUGUAUGAAGAAGGCCUUCGGGUUGUAAAGUACUUUCAGCGGGGAGGAAGGUGUUGUGGUUAAUAACCGCAGCAAUUGACGUUACCCGCAGAAGAAGCACCGGCUAACUCCGUGCCAGCAGCCGCGGUAAUACGGAGGGUGCAAGCGUUAAUCGGAAUUACUGGGCGUAAAGCGCACGCAGGCGGUCUGUCAAGUCGGAUGUGAAAUCCCCGGGCUCAACCUGGGAACUGCAUUCGAAACUGGCAGGCUUGAGUCUUGUAGAGGGGGGUAGAAUUCCAGGUGUAGCGGUGAAAUGCGUAGAGAUCUGGAGGAAUACCGGUGGCGAAGGCGGCCCCCUGGACAAAGACUGACGCUCAGGUGCGAAAGCGUGGGGAGCAAACAGGAUUAGAUACCCUGGUAGUCCACGCCGUAAACGAUGUCUACUUGGAGGCUGUGCCCUUGAGGCGUGGCUUCCGGAGCUAACGCGUUAAGUAGACCGCCUGGGGAGUACGGCCGCAAGGUUAAAACUCAAAUGAAUUGACGGGGGCCCGCACAAGCGGUGGAGCAUGUGGUUUAAUUCGAUGCAACGCGAAGAACCUUACCUGGUCUUGACAUCCACAGAAGUUUGCAGAGAUGCGAAUGUGCCUUCGGGAACUGUGAGACAGGUGCUGCAUGGCUGUCGUCAGCUCGUGUUGUGAAAUGUUGGGUUAAGUCCCGCAACGAGCGCAAC
This 1112-nucleotide ribosomal RNA is filed under the name Salmonella enterica. Its description in RNAcentral is "bacterial SSU rRNA". It matches the Rfam family "Bacterial small subunit ribosomal RNA", at positions 1 to 1102 of the family's 1533-position model. RNAcentral also lists the same sequence under 3 other names. Lineage: Bacteria; Pseudomonadati; Pseudomonadota; Gammaproteobacteria; Enterobacterales; Enterobacteriaceae. The record is from RNAcentral.